GCAGUAGCCGCGGUAAUACCGAGGGUGCGAGCGUUAAUCGGAUUUACUGGGCGUAAAGCGUGCGUAGGCGGCUAAUUGAGUCGGAUGUGAAAUCCCCGAGCUUAACUUGGGAAUUGCAUUCGAUACUGGUUAGCUAGAGUGUGGGAGAGGAUGGUAGAAUUCCAGGUGUAGCGGUGAAAUGCGUAGAGAUCUGGAGGAAUACCGAUGGCGAAGGCAGCCAUCUGGCCUAACACUGACGCUGAGGUACGAAAGCAUGGGGAGCAAACAGGAUUAGAUACCCCUGUAGUCCCUGUCUCUUAUAC
This 302-nucleotide ribosomal RNA is filed under the name uncultured bacterium. RNAcentral's name for it is "partial 16S ribosomal RNA". It matches the Rfam family "Bacterial small subunit ribosomal RNA", at positions 508 to 807 of the family's 1533-position model. The record is from RNAcentral.